Molecule: long non-coding RNA, 2397 nt
Organism: Peromyscus eremicus (cactus mouse)
Lineage: Eukaryota; Metazoa; Chordata; Mammalia; Rodentia; Cricetidae
Exons: 2
Source: RefSeq, a predicted model, not a curated record
GGCCCCCACCCAGCCCGGCGUGCGGCCCGCGGCCGUUGGCGACGGUUGGCGGCGGGGCGGGGCGGGGGCGGACGGAGAUCUCGCUCUCGCUCUCGCUCUCGCCCCGCGGGAAGGGGGAGUGGAGGCGCGACCGGCUGCGGGAGCUGCAAUUACCGUGUGGGCUGCGGAAUUCUCGUGGUGUUUGUCGGGGAGAUGCGAUAAUGGCGUCCGUCCUCGCGAGAGAAGCAGCCGCUCUGCGCAGGCGCUGCGAGCACCUCCCCGCGCCCUGCGCCCCGCCCUCAGCGCAGGCUCCCUGGGCUCCGGGUUCGAGGGCGGAGCCAGGCGGACGGGGGGCGGGGCCUGCUCUGGGCGCCUCUAGCGCGCGCUUUCGCCUACAGACUCUGGCGAACAUGCGCAGUUGUCUUCCUGUACUCCGAGAGUUGACUCCUGGGACCCUUGUUUCCCCUCUCACGUCCGUGCUUUUUGCUAAAAUGGUAAAUCCUCCCGUGGGCAAUCUGAGGAAUGUACGUCCUUUCUGAGAGGGAGUGAAUAGAUGCUAAUGCUGCUCCAAUGACUACAAAUCCCAGGGUAUGCUGUGUGUGGCGCGAUGCCUUCUGGGAUUGGUAGUCUCGGCAGUUGUGAUUUGCGUGCUGGGAUUUGUAGUUCACCCGGAUUCUGGCAGUCGCGUCCCUUCCCUGCCCUGAGGGCUGCUGGGACUUGUAGUGACGGCAACUCAGAUAGGGUGUGCUCAUCCAAACCGCUCCUACCUACUCGCGCCGUGGAUCGGUCUCGGACGUUCCGGGCUCGUUUAGUGAUGUUGUCUCAAAAGUUGUCCAACUCCCAUGUGAGCAAGCAGUUGGAGCGGACGCUGUCACGGUGAUAGAGAUUAUAUGUGGCAUGCUUCUGUAUCCUGGAAUAGGCGCUCCUUCGGCAUCGAUGUGCGCUUGUUCCCAGAAAUGCUACUAGUGGCUAUUUCUGCACUUAGUCUCUCAUUCACGUUCCUCUCCGGGCUCGUUCCUUCCGCAUGUUCGCAGUGAGCAAUCCGCCAAACCAGGAUCCGGGAGCUAUUUUCACUUGGAAAGAAAAUACUUUACCUUAACUUUCCUACUCCCUUCUCUGUGCCAAUAAUAAAGUCAUGACUCAGUGCAGCCACCAGCUAGGCGACCUUGGGCGACCCUACUGAGUGCUUCUAGACCACUGCGCUCUGUCUCUGGGGGCUGGUCCUGGGCUACUUUGCCUCAAACGUGUCUUGAAGACUUCAACCUGGAACUGUGCUGUUAAAAUAAGACCUGUCAUUUACACAGAUGAGGAUGAAGUCCAAAGAGGCUAAGAAAUUGCUGGAGGUAGCAGCUGGAGCCAGGAGGGCAGAUUUUGGGCGUCUAUGUGAAUGAAGUCUUACAAUUUUAAGUUGCCUCACAUCCAUGUAGAAAGCAAGUUGGCAGCCUAGAUUAUGUAGCAAGUUCCAGAACAGCCAUAUCUUGCAGCGGCGGCUGGGGGAUGGGAAGUUGGGUGGGGUGCGUUGAAAAGUCAGUUUCUCUUCUGGGAGCAGACGCCAUCACCACGGACAGCGCCUCUGUGCAGUAUAAGAAGGAAGUCUUAUGUAACUUCCUUCUUGUGACCUCCGGCCCUUGGGAAUGCAGGAUAUAGCCUACUUGAUAGAGGCCACCCUAACACACAGGGCAAAUAUGUCGCAUGAACCACCUCACAGUCAUGUGUAACCUCCUGGAACGACCUGUUUGCUCAAACUACCUCAUGAAAUUUGUUUGCACUUGAUCUUAGGCCAAAGGUCAAGGAACCACAGGAAAGCUGCAUGGACCAGACCCUGGACUUCAAUAAAGUCCUUAGCCUGCAGGGUCCUUUCCUUUUCAUCCACCCAAUUACCUGACCUCUAGACACAUAGUGCACCCCCAAGACCUAUACAAAAGUCUGUUUUCAUGUUGUGUCCUGAUCAUUUUGCAACGUGGUCUCCAACAUAAAGAUCUGAAAUUCCAACUGACCCAGACUCCAGGGAAGCAUUAGAGCAGCUACAGGAACCAAGCCCAGAGGUACCAAGAGGAACUUGGGCAGAGACUCCUGGAGGAUACCCUGCUUACUCCCAGCACAUCUCAAUCAACAUAACUCUUUAACUGUGAGAAUUCUGAACAUGAAUGCCUGACUGCAUGGAAAACACAAAGUAAUGGUGACGUCAUUCAUGGACAGAGAUACAAAUGCCACAGUGUAGAGGCCAGCUUAAGGAAAUACAAGGAGUCCAUUUGUGCCAGCAAGAUGACUCACCUAGUAGAGAUGAUUGACACCAAGCCUGAUGACCCCAGGCCCCACACGGCGGAGAGAACUGACGGGCGCAGGUUGUCCUCUGACCCCCAGAUGUGUCUGUGCAUAGAUAGGCACAGAAUAAAUAAAAUGUAAUUUAAAUUUGUA